This 469-nucleotide ribosomal RNA is filed under the name uncultured bacterium. RNAcentral describes it as "partial 16S ribosomal RNA". It matches the Rfam family "Bacterial small subunit ribosomal RNA", at positions 28 to 507 of the family's 1533-position model. The record is from RNAcentral.
GACGAACGCUGGCGGCGUGCUUAACACAUGCAAGUCGAACGGAAAGGCCCUGCUUUUGUGGGGUGCUCGAGUGGCGAACGGGUGAGUAACACGUGAGUAACCUGCCCUUGACUUUGGGAUAACUUCAGGAAACUGGGGCUAAUACCGGAUAGGAGCUCCUGCUGCAUGGUGGGGGUUGGAAAGUUUCGGCGGUUGGGGAUGGACUCGCGGCUUAUCAGCUUGUUGGUGGGGUAGUGGCUUACCAAGGCUUUGACGGGUAGCCGGCCUGGGAGGGUGACCGGGCUACGGUGGGCGGGGAAUGCGGCCCGGACCCGACGGGGAGGGGCGGGAGGGGAUGGUUGCACAGUGGGCGGAGUCCGAGUCCGGCACCGCCGCGGGGGGGGGGGGGACAGUGGGUUGGGAACCCCAUUCCGCCGGAGCAGGAGCGAGAGUGACGUUAAUGAGAAAAGAAGCACCGGCCAACUACGUG